CCUACGGGAGGCAGCAGUGAGGAAUAUUGGUCAAUGGCCGUAAGGCUGAACCAGCCAAGUAGCGUGAGGGAAGACUGCCCUAUGGGUUGUAAACCUCUUUUAUGCGGGGAUAAAGGUGUCCACGUGUGGAUGUUUGCAGGUACUGCAUGAAUAAGGACCGGCUAAUUCCGUGCCAGCAGCCGCGGUAAUACGGAAGGUCCGGGCGUUAUCCGGAUUUAUUGGGUUUAAAGGGAGCGUAGGGCGGUCGUUAAGCGUGCUGUGAAAUUUUGUGGCUCAACCAUGAGAGUGCGGCGGGUACUGGAGGCAUUGAGUGCGGUGAAGGCAGGCGGAAUUCGUGGUGUAGCGGUGAAAUGCUUAGAUAUCACGAAGAACCCCGAUUGCGAAGGCAGCUUACUAAACUGUCACUGACAUUGAUGCUCGAAAGUGUGGGUAUCAAACAGGAUUAGAUACCCCAGUAGUC
Molecule: ribosomal RNA, 460 nt
Filed under: uncultured bacterium
Lineage: Bacteria
Description: partial 16S ribosomal RNA
Rfam family: Bacterial small subunit ribosomal RNA
Source: RNAcentral